Culex pipiens pallens (northern house mosquito) is the source of this 5785-nucleotide long non-coding RNA. RefSeq lists it as uncharacterized. The transcript has 2 exons. Lineage: Eukaryota; Metazoa; Arthropoda; Insecta; Diptera; Culicidae. The record is from RefSeq and is a predicted model, not a curated record.
GUAAACUGGGGUAACUUUGAUAGCCCGGGGUGACUUUGAUAGGUUUUUCAAAUGUCCGUCAAAUUAAUAUCUAAACAUUUUUGAGAAUAUUGAGUACCGUAAAACGGGGUGAAUUUUCCGCAAAAUGAAGAGUACAAUUAAAUUACGUAACGAAUGGUUUAGAAACAUACUGACCGUGGUAGAGAUGUGUUCAAAGUUGACAAGUUUAAAUAGUUAGUUAACUAUAGUUAAGAAAAUGUUGAUGAAAGUAAUUAUUUUAAACUUCUCAAAGUGUCUUGAUUUUCUCAAUGAACAUGAUUUUUAAUCGGAAAACGGAAUGCAUUUUCGGAUUCUUUGGACAAUUUUCCACUAGGAGAAGAUUAAAAAAGUUUGUAAAUAAUAAAUAAUAUGCGUUUUUGAAACACAAUUUAAAUUUUUUUCCAAAUUUAUAGGUAAUUUCAGUUGAACAAAUUUCAUGUAAAAUGUGAAAACUUGUGAUUCGUGCUUCGAAUUCAGUAUAAAAUGCAAUAUAAAUCGAUAAUUUUACAAACAAAACUAGUUUUAACAAAUCUCAGGCAAAAUUCCGACUUUUUAACAAUUUUACCUAAAAUUUAUAUGUAUUUUGCUAAAAAGCUUAUACACUUAGUUAACUAAAUAUAAACAUAGAUUUUUUUUUUUCUUAAAAACUAUAUCAGCUACUUUAGUGAUGGUACAUUUAGCGUACAAAUAAAGUUUGAACAUCUUAAAUAUGAUUUAAACAAGAAAAACUAUUACUAUCAAAGUCACCCCGGAAUUAAAACUAAGAAUUUUUAGCGUACCGUAAACUGGGGUCAAUCGGGACACAUGGGGCGAAUUGGGACAGCAGUUUUAACCAUGUUGGAACACAAUAUUUUGAUUUUUCUGGUUGGUUUCGGUUAGAACAGACUCAGGCCAACAAAAUAUGUACAUCCAUUUCCUUAUUUAAAAGCUUUAAGUGCUCUAUAAACUGCUGUCCCUAUUCAGAUUGUAGUCCCGAUUCACCCCAGAUUACGGUAACUAUUUUUCUAAACAUUAUUGAAAAAACUUUUUUUCCGAAAUAGUGCAUGGACUUUGUGUGGUUAUGUUUUAAAAAUAAUAAUCUUGAGAAAAACCUUACCUGUUGGAAUAUAUUCUAAAAACAAAUUGAAAUCCUAUCAAAGUCACCUCGGUUUACGGUAUGUAAGCAUUAAGGGAUAGCUUAUUAUCGAACAUAUAUGCAAAAAUGCGACCGUUACAUUGGAUGUAUCAAAAUUAGUAGCCAAAUCAAAUUUCUAUCAAUGUCACCCCAGGCUAUCAAAGUCACCCCAGUUUACGGUAUCAGAAUCCUGAAGGAACCUGAACGGGUAUUCUGGUUGGGCGGAUGAAAUAAGUAUGAAAGGCGAAUCGAGGGCGGGCCAAGGCGGUUGGGGCAUUUUGGGCGGAUGAACUUUAUAUAGGGGGCGGAUCGGGGGCGAACCGCUGGCGGACCAUCCCAAAGGGGCGGCUGAACCGUAUAUGAAAGGCGCAUCAAGGACGAGCCAAGGCGGUUGGGGCUUUUUGGGCGGAUGAACUUUAUAUAGGGGGCGGAUCGGGGGCGAACCGCUGGCGGACCAACCUACAGAGGAGGCUGAACCGUAUAUGAAAGGCGCAUCAAGGGCGAGCCAAGGCGGUUGUGGCUUUUUAGGCGGAUGAACUUUAUAUAGGGGGCGGAUCGGGGGCGACUCGCUGGAGAACCAACCUACAGGGGCGGCCGAACCGUAUAUGAGAGGCGCAUCAAGGGCGGGCCAAGGCGGUUGGGGCAUUUUGGGCGGAUGAACUUUAUAUAGGGGGCUGAUCGGGGGUGACCCGCUGGCGGACCAUCUUAUAGGGACGGACGAACCGUAUAUGAAAGGUGGGUCGAGGGCGAGCCACGGCGGUUGGGGCUUUUUAGGCGGAUGAACUUUUAUAUGGGAGGCGUAUCGAGGGCGACCCGCUAGCGGACCAUCCUAUAGGGGCGGUUGAACCAUACAAAACGGCGUAUGUGGGGCGGAUGAACGGCGGGUGAAACAUUUCAAGGCAAACCUGGGUGACCCCGGGGUGAGUCGCUGCCGGACCAACGUCGCGAUAAAAAAAAUCAAACGCUGGCGGAUCACCAGAGCGGUUUGGUGGUCUGCCAGCGAACCGCCGUCGGGCUGCCCAGUUAAUGUGGGAUGCGUUACUAAACUAAAACGUAACGCCCCAGUUGGGAGCGAGUUACCAAAUCUAGCAACGCAACUAAUUUUAAAUGUCGAGAAUUUGCAUGAUAUUUUUAAGACGUAGGGGACCAUCUGGAGGCGCUCCAGUCAAAUCUUUAUAUUGUAUAUUCGUAUUGAAAAAAAAUUAAGUCUUAGGGGCGCGUCCAGUUAAAUUUUCAUAAUUUUCAUAAAAAUCUGGUAGUCAUAGGGGCGCCUAUAGUCAAAUUUUUCAUAUCGAGAAUUUGCAGAAUUUUUUUAAGUCAUAAGGGCGCCUCCAGUCAAAUUUUCAUAGCAAAAAAAUUUGUAUGAUUUUUUUGAAGUCGUAGGGGCGCCUCCAUUCAAUUUUCAUAUCGAGAAUUUGCAUGAUUUUUUUAAGUCGUAGGAGCGCCUCCAGUCAAAUUUUUAUAUUGCAUAUUCGUUGCAGUUGAGUCUUUUUACCGGACGGACGCGUUUUUUAAUUCGCUCUACACCUUAUUUUUAUUUACCUUCACUGACCCAGUCCACAAACGUAAACGUAAACUUAUUUAUUUUUUGUCGCGCGUCGCGUGUGCACUUAUUAACAAACCAGAAAAAUGCCCCUCGGACAUAAUUUUAGCAGUCCACGAUGAAGUGAGGGCCCUCACUUCAUCCAUCAAUAAACUGCAAGACAAUGAAAUUGAAGUCCGGCAAAAAUCACUGGCAGCAGACCCGUAGCCAGGCUGCAGCCCCCCCUGAAAUUUUUCCCAUUUUUUUUUUAAAUUGUACUACCUUAAAAAAAUCUCAAAAUAAUGAUUAUGUGUUCUCUCCACAGAAAUAAUUUGUAAGAUAGAGAAUCAAGAAUAGAUUAAUCAAACGAAGUAAUUUGCCUGUCCAUUGCCGAGCUCAGUUUUCGUAGAUUAUGGAUCCAAUAUUUAAAAAUUGAGCUGCAGAUUUGAACAUCGAUCCAUUCAGUCACAUUUCAUUUAUCCCAUAGUUUUAUCAUUACAUUGGUUAGGGUGGUCCAAAUCUGGGCUUUCUCGAGGCUACCCCCUAAAAUCAAAGAUUGAUCACUAGCCUAAGUUCCAAAUUUGAGCUUUUUAUGACCACUGACCACCAAGUUUGGGAAAAAUCGUCAAAAUGUAUGGAGAAAAGCAACUGUUUCAGUUUUUGACCUGUGGAAGGCGCAAUAACUACCCAGUUCUUACCAAUUUUCAUAACUAAUAUCUUCUUUAAAUUUGGAAAAACUUUCCCGAAGACACCUUAUUUUUUGGGUUUUUUGCUAAAAAGUUAUUAGCCUUCGAAAAUAGCAAUAUCCGGGGCUACAUAGAAAUAGUUAAUUUUUAAACUCAUGUCUGUGCUAGCUUGCCUGGCAAUGCACCUCCUGUUAUGUUGCGCAAAAAUUGCCAUUUUCGGAAGCUAAUAAUUUUUUAGCAAAAAUCCUUAAAUCUCGUUGUCUUAAUUAUGAUAGUCGAACAUAAGUAAAAAAAAAAGUAAUCCACUUUAACGACCCCCGGGUCUUUUGUGGUCUCUGUUGCAAGUUUCUGCUCAUUUCUAGGCGUCCGAAGGUUAUGUGUGGUGAGCCACCCAAAAUCUCUUUUACGCAAAUGGACCGACGUUUUACUUCCCCAUCCGAUAGAAGGCUCGAACUUAAGUAUGACCCCUGAAGAAACAUAAAAUAAUUUAGAAUUUUUAGAUUCAAAUUGGCGGCCAAAAUGGUGGCCAAGAAAUAUUGUUCAAAUCUAACUCAAAUGUGGUUGCAGAUGCCGAAUUUGAUGUUAAAAGCAAGCAAAUAAAAAAACGAUUUCAAUUUGGUCAUGAUUCGAUUAUCCGAAGUCCUUCGAACUUUUGGAUAAUCGACUUGUCGAAUUUGGACUGCAAAAUUAAUAACCCUUCUUUAUUUGCAUUAAAAUCCCUUAUCUUUUUGAGGACCUUCAUACUAUUAACAAAUGAUUUUUUCUACAAUUUUCAAAAUAUGCCAUAAUUUAUACAAAAUUCAGAUUUUGUUUUAAAAAUCUAAUUUCGACUAUUAUCAGAAAUACACAUCUAAUAUUAUCUUUUUGGUUUUUAGAAUAUGGUUAGUUACAUAUCUGAGACCUUACAGAAAAAUGCUUAAGAAAUAUCUGUGUGUAAUUUUUAUUACUUUUUCGUAAUCCUUUUUCCCGAAACCACUCGUCCAAAAUGCUUACUUUUGGUCACAUUUAUUUGUUUCCACCGUGGCAACUCUCCAAUUUUUAUUUAAUGUUUCAAAAAUCGAAAGAUCAACUAAGUGAAUCUUUAUUAUCAACUAAUUUUCGCUUUGUGCAUGAGCUUGCGAUUUUUGAAGCAAGAAAUAAAAUGAUAAAAAUAUUCAAAAUGUCAAAAAAAGAAAAUUAUAGCUUGGAUUCAAAAACUCUGCAAUUAAAUUAAUUAAACAUCAUUUUCAAAUUGUUAAAUUUCUGAUAUUCAUUUUUAAACUUUUUCAUUUAAAUUUUUUUGAUUUUAUGGAUUAGAAUUUCCAUUUUGAAGAUUUAAAAAUUUCUUUAUUAUUUUUUUUAAAUUGUAUUUUAUUGUAAAUAUUUUCCAAAGUUUAUGUUGCCACCCUUUCAAAAGGGGCAGAGGGCAAAUGCAAUUUUUUUUUAAAUAGCUUCACAGCUUCAAUGGAAAUGGAAGUCUAAUCAACUGAAAACAGUUAUUUUUGUAUUCAUAACUUAUUUCGAUUAAGUCCUUUUAGGAGCAGUGACAACACAUUUGAAAUGUUUUUUUUUCUGCGUUGAUAAUCAUGUACGACAUGUUUGAGCUCGUUUAAAAAUAUUUAAAAUUUUUGUAACAUUUCGUUGAACCGCGGCAAGUUUUUUUUUUCACGAAAAAAGCUUUUCGCCAGUAACUAGAUAUUUUGAAAACUAAUGAUGCAAAACAACUGUACUGGUUUAAAGUGAGGUUUUGAAACACUUUUAAAAUGAUAAACCAAUGGCUUGUAAUUUAAAUAUUUAUAUUUUUCAUUGUUUGCUCUACCCUUUCGACUUUGGCCAGAGUUUAGUAACAUAAAGUUUAGAAUAAUAUUUGCAACGGUCUAAUUGAGAAUUUAAAAAUUUUACUGCUUUUAAAUUUCUAAAUUUUAGAUUUCAAAUAUUUUGGUAUAAGACAAAGAAAAGCCAGAAAUCAAAAAUAACAAUAAUAAAAAAAUCACAAAAUUUAUAAUAACAAUUAAACAUAAUAAUUUAAAAAAAAUCAAUAGAACAAAAAACAUAAACCAAAACAUAAAUAAAAUAAUUAAUAUUAAAAAAUAUCAAAAUUUUAAAAAUACCAUUAUUGUCCCAUUGAUUAUUGUAAUGACUUUUCUCUUAUUUUAAACUUAAUUCUGAGCAAAAAACUAAAUUCAUUCUUAACAUAUUCGGCAUUUUAAGAUUCAGCAUUUUGACAGCCGGCUUCAUGUGGCAAUUCUUCAAUAUUAUUUUAGCGAAUACAUUUUUUUCACACGUUAUUCUCAGUCGCAUUUAAAUAAACAAAUCAAAAUCUCAUCAACACAUAUUGCACCCGAAAAAAAUCCAAAGCCAUUUUUGUUCUGUUCCUUUUCAGCUGCGUACCGCUAAAGCUAAAUCUUUCCGUAAAUCUUUUCUUGACUGUUUCUUGAGCAUUUUUUGGAUGGAGUUUUAAGAGUC